UGAAACAGUGGCUGCCAUCAGCCAUGGCUCCAAAAAAGAAGUCAAACAAAGGAGGCAAGGAGAUUCAGAGCAAGAAGAAGAUAGGGGGCAGGAAGGACACCAGUGGGUCCAAGACUCCAGAGUUGGCCAUGGUGGAGGAGCUGAAGGAAUUCUACCACAAACAGAUCCAAGACCUGGAGGACAGGCUGGCCCGGUAUCAGCGGAAAUGGGAUGAACUGGCUGUGCAGGAGAAGCUGUUCCGUCAGGAGUUCGAGCAGCUGGCCAACAACAAGAAGGAGAUCGUGGCCUUCCUCAAGCGCACACUGAACCAGAGGGUGGACGAGAUCACGGACCUGAAUGACCAGCUGCAGAGCCUACAAGUGGCCAAGGAGAUGGAGAAGGAUGCUUUCGAGGCCCAGUUGGCCCAGGUGCGCCACGAAUUCCAGGAAACCAAGGACCAGCUCACCACAGAGAACAUCGCCCUCGGAAUCAAGCUGAGUUCCCUGGAGGAGUUCCGGCUGCAGAAAGAAGAGCUCACAGAGAAGUACAUGGCGCUGGAGGAACAGCUUCGAAGGCAGGAGGGUGAAUACAAGGACUACGUGUACAACCUGGAGAAGAAGUCUGUGCUGGACAAGGACAGGCUGAGGAAAGAGAUCAUCCAGCGCGUGAACCUGGUGGCCACCGAGUUCCGAAAGGUGGCCACCAACCAGAUGUGGGAGACGACCAGGCGGGCCAUCCUAGAGAACAACAACGUGACCCUG
This 740-nucleotide long non-coding RNA is filed under the name Rattus norvegicus (Norway rat). Its description in RNAcentral is "long non-coding RNA NONRATT019189". Lineage: Eukaryota; Metazoa; Chordata; Mammalia; Rodentia; Muridae. The record is from RNAcentral.